UGUACAGCAACUGAAAUUCUGCGCUUCGCCGGUCCCGUCAGGUAAGAAGCAACGAGUGGAGAGCUCUCGCCUGAAGCCCUCCUACUCCGUCUCUCCCAGAUCCAACUCCAGAAAAGAAGAAAAAACGAAAACACCAAGAGAUGAAUUCAGAUUUCUUCUAACCCUAACCCUAACCCAAAAUGCACCCAAAAAGGGGAUCCCUCCUUCCCCUCCUCUUCAUCCUCUCCUUCGCCGUUAUCUUCCUCUGUUCCUACCAUUACCACUCCUCCCUCCAUUUCUCCCACUCCCAAAACCCAAACUCUAACCCUAACCCUCAGCGCUUCACCUUCACCAUCAAGCUCCUCACAUUCGAUCGCAUCGACUCCCUUCGCCGCUGCCUCCGCUCCAUCGCCGCCGCCGACUACGGCGGCGAUCGGGUGAGCCUCCACGUCUUCGUCGACCAUUUCCGGGCCGUUGACCCCGCCAACGAAUCCGCCCUGCUGGACCGGAAGCUGGAGGAAUCGCGCCGGAUCUUGGAUCUCGUCGAUGGCUUCAGUUGGCCACAUGGAGAGAAGCUCGUGCAUCACCGGACGGCCAAUGUCGGGCUUCAGGCUCAGUGGCUGGAGGCCUGGUGGCCGAAGUCGGAUGACGACUUCGCCUUUGUGGUGGAGGAUGAUCUCGAGCUGUCGCCGCUGUACUACAAGUUCUUGAAGGAAUUGAUUUUGAAGUAUUAUUAUGAUCGGUCGAACUAUAGCCCUUCUAUCUAUGGGGCAUCAUUGCAGCGGCCAAGGUUUGUAGCAGGAAAGCAUGGAAACAAACUACGGCUGGACAGUGAAACACACCUUUUCUUAUACCAGAUGGUUGGGACAUGGGGUCAACUUCUUUUCCCUAGACCAUGGAAAGAAUUUCGCUUGUGGUACGAUAUUCACAAAGCCAAAGGCAUUAAACCAAUACUGCAGGGCAUGGUAACAACAGGAUGGUACAAAAAGAUGGGUGAGAGAAUAUGGACUCCAUGGUUCAUCAAAUAUAUUCAUGCCCGAGGAUACUACAAUAUUUACACAAACUUUGUGCAUGAAAGAGCUCUCAGCAUCUCUUACAGGGAUGCAGGUGUAAAUUAUGGGAAAACAGCUGGUCCUGAUUCCAACUUACUGGACAAAAACUCGCUUGAUUUUGAUCUCUGGGCACUGCAGCCCCUGAAAAAUUUAAAAUGGUAUGAUUUCUGCUUCAGAGAAGUGCAUCUUGGGAGAAUUGUUAGGAGGUAUGACGAACUUGAAUCUGUUCUACGCUCUUUCAAGGAACAGAAAACUAUUAUACUGGUAAGUUUUUACCGGACGGUACAAAGGAUUGCAAGAAACUUGAUUUGCCAUCUUGAGAGGGUGGGUUUGCAGAACUUCAUGUUUAUCGGUGAUGAUUCAGAGUUUCUCAUUGACCUUGCCCGGAGAGGAUAUCCUGUGAUCGAUGCAAAUCUGUUGGUCAGCAAGAUGGGAAGCGACAAAUCAAAUGGUUUUGAACAUUCUGACAUGAAUUUGAUGAAGGAGAUCUGGGCUAAAGCCAAUGUUAUUAAAAAGUUUCUGGAACUGGGAUACAAUUUAUGGGUGCUUGAUUGGAAUAUAAUUCCAAUGAGUAAUUCAUUAUUGGAGGUACCAGAUCCAUCUUAUGAUUUUUUUGCUGCAAAAAAUGUUGGAUUAAUGUACAUGAAGAGCUCUUCAUCUUCCCUAAAAGUUUGGGUUGCUGAUUUUAUUUCUAACGUGGCAGCAGUGGGGAAGUCUUUGAUAGGCAGUAAUUCUGUAUCUUUGGAACACAAGAAUUUUGUGUAUUUUGCUACCAAAGCUUUGGAGGACAAGGGUGACGUACGGUUGCGGAGGUUGGAUGAAUCGGUCAUUGGUGUAAGAUUAGGUUAUGAUGCUAUGAAUCGCUCUGCUCUGGACAGUGGGAAAAUGCUUUUCUUGUCUCCAGCGAUGUCAUUGACUUCAGUUCAGAGAGAGCUUGAGAACCUAGAAAUGUGGUUGAUUGAUGGGGAUUCUUCUUGUGCUGCUGUUGUUUGCCACCAAUAAUAAUAAAUGAAUAGCAAUACGGAUUUCUUUCUUUUUUUGUUAGAUGAAAUGCGAUUGGAAUCAGUACUUUUGGAUCCAUUAUAGCUUAUGGAUGCUCCAUUGCUUCGAAGAUAUUCUCUGACAACCAUAUACUGCAAAACUGCAAAAACUGGUAGGGCCUUGGAAUCCUUACAUCUUGGAUAAAAGCUGCAUUCUUUUUUCUUUUAGAAAUGAGGAAGAAAUAUCACCAUCUAGGUUCAAAGUUGGGAUGCCUCUCAGGGUAAGCAGCAAAUAGCAACCGAGAGGGGUGUCAGCCUAUAUGCGCCUGAAAUAUGGUGGCAGGUGCUCGCAUGGAUAACCGUAUGUAAUAGUUUGCUUACAUUUUCAAGAGAGUUCGAAGCCUAGUCCUUUCCACCUGGAUCAACUUCGCUCCAUACCAUAUGCCCAAGGAAUACCCACAGAAGAUGAAGAGCAUGACCGUGCCAAGACCUAAUCCAGCAGCCAGACCUUCUUGAACACCCGAACUGUAAGCACUGUU
This is an RNA transcript of Elaeis guineensis (African oil palm), 2550 nucleotides long. RefSeq lists it as uncharacterized. NCBI's taxonomy places the organism in Eukaryota, Viridiplantae, Streptophyta, Magnoliopsida, Arecales, Arecaceae. The record is from RefSeq and is a predicted model, not a curated record.